This 443-nucleotide ribosomal RNA is filed under the name uncultured bacterium. RNAcentral describes it as "partial 16S ribosomal RNA". It matches the Rfam family "Bacterial small subunit ribosomal RNA", at positions 338 to 795 of the family's 1533-position model. The record is from RNAcentral.
CCUACGGGCGGCAGCAGUGAGGAAUAUUGGUCAAUGGGCGCGAGCCUGAACCAGCCAAGUAGCGUGAAGGAAGAAGGCUUUCGGGUUGUAAACUUCUUUUCUCAGGGACGAAGCAAGUGACGGUACCUGAGGAAUAAGCCACGGCUAACUACGUGCCAGCAGCCGCGGUAAUACGGGGGGUGCAAGCGUUGUCCGGAAUCAUUGGGCGUAAAGAGUUCGUAGGUGGCACGUUAAGUCUGGUGGUAAAGGCGGAAGCUCAACUUCCGUAGGGCACUGGAUACUGGCGAGCUUGAAUGCGGUAGAGGUAAAGGGAAUUCCUGGUGUAGCGGUGAAAUGCGUAGAUAUCAGGAGGAACAUCGGUGGCGUAAGCGCUUUACUGGGCCGUAAUUGACACUGAGGAACGAAAGCCGGGGUAGCAAAUGGGAUUAGAUACCCGUGUAGUC